This 380-nucleotide long non-coding RNA is filed under the name Felis catus (domestic cat). RNAcentral's name for it is "lncRNA (ENSFCAG00000042873.2)". Lineage: Eukaryota; Metazoa; Chordata; Mammalia; Carnivora; Felidae. The record is from RNAcentral.
GUAAGAUAUUGGGUAACUUGAGGUUCCAAGUCUUCAAGUGCUGCAUAAAGCGCAAGCAUUAAUUCUUAAGUAUUAUUAUGGAAUAAAUUGAAUUCUGUUAGGUUGCCUUUUGUAAUCCUUUUUUUCCCCUCUGCUUAAUCAUUACAGGUAAUUUGAAAAUAAAUACUGCUGUGAGUGAACCAAUAGAAAUAUUUUACUGUCAUUGAACAGAAAAGUAAAAGCCUAAUUACCGUGCGGAUUGAACAUUCUUCUGCGGUGUAUCUCAGGGAGCUGACCCCAGAAGAUACAGAAACUAAGGCGUUCGACCUCUUUUAUUGCAACUGCUCCCAUCCUUCCUGCCCGCCCUACCCGCCGGAAACUUAAAAACCCACGCCUGUUGG